RNAcentral lists this ribosomal RNA (741 nucleotides) under Triticum aestivum (bread wheat). RNAcentral describes it as "partial small subunit ribosomal RNA". Lineage: Eukaryota; Viridiplantae; Streptophyta; Magnoliopsida; Poales; Poaceae. The record is from RNAcentral.
AUGGACGGCCUCCUCCAUUGGGUUUUCUCCCCCGGCCUCAAGGUCGACGAUCAGGUGCGUACACAUUUUGGAUCUAUGGUCCACUUCAUCCCCAACCCUAACUCCAAGGAGUUCUUCCUUGAAGUUUCUUUCUCCUCGGCCUCUUUUCCCCUCUCGGAAGAAUCAGUGGGAUUGGCCUUACAGUCUUGUAUUGGUGGCGUCAGUGCAAGUUUCAAUGUGCUAUGUUUGGGUGAUCGUCGUUUUCGGUUCUCGGUGGCUUCCAAUCGUGUGGGUCAUUAUAUUUUUGGCCUACGUGAUCGCAUCUGGCUGGACUUCAUAUGUCACUUCUAUCUCCAUCGAGGUGUAAAGUAUCUCCCUCGGAUUGUUGGUUGGCAUGCGGACACUGAACUCAAUGGAUUGGCAUCUUCACCUGGUCCAGCUAUUAAGUCCAAAUGGCUCUCUUCCAAAUCCAAAGAUGUUAUUGAUCCAGCCUCAUUCUCGAUUUUUCAAAAUUUGUGGUUGUUUCAGCCGCUGACGGUGAGACAUUCCAGCGCCGGUACCUUACCAAAGAUUUCUUUUGGCAGUUUUUCGGGGCCGGAUUCUCAGGAAGUUCAUUACCCUUUUCAUAUUGGGGCCAUCAAUGUACCGAAUUUGUCCAGAUCUCAUGUCACAUUGCCAUCUUUUCGUGGACAUCGUUUUUUCCAAAGUUUGUGGGAUGCUAUCCCUGAGGAUAAGCUUCUCUCUAUUCUGGAUGGUUGGUAA